AUUCUCCGGCGGCGGCAUUAAUAUUUCGAAACUUCUCCAUUUAAUUCUCUGAUUUCACCUCUAUUUCGUGCAUAAAGACAACUUUUGGAUGACUGCGUCAUCAGAAAUGUUUUCCUGUGUAGCGAAAAGUGCUGAGCUAUGGAUUCACUUCACCUCAACACAAUCCCUAAUUUCUAGGAAGGAUAAAUUCAUAUUGUGAACUUAUAGAGGAUCAACAUUGAAGACGAACAGGCAACAGAGCUAAAGACGGCGACUGGCUAGGAUGGUGCUGGCAAGCUACGACAACGUGUACAAUUGUUGGGGGAGAAACUGGAGCCAAGCUUAUCGGGUUGUGCUGUAGACCAUGAUCCGGUCCAUGUAAAGUUGACCAGAGGGACGCGUAAUGACGUUACGGAGCGGGAGCUGCAAGAUUGGGGCAAGAAAUGGCGUGGUAACCAACAACAGCGCCAAAGGGAGACGUAAGAAUGACAGAAUGAGGACAGUAGGUACAUCUACCACCAUUCUGACAGCAGACUUACGCAAGGGUGCGGCUGUCCAGGGAGCACCAUUUGCAAACUUGAUGCGAAUGGCGGAAGAACGAAGCUGGCAAUGCUGGCUUGAGAGCCUGUUUCAAGAUCAGGGGCGUGGCUGUCACUGAGGUUGUCCAAGAGAGACCCGAUGCUAUAUUACUGUUGAAAAAGACAAAGCGGUUUGGUUUGGCAUUGACUGACAAACUGUCAAAAAGCAUGGUUUUAAGAUUGGAGGACAGGGAUGUCACAGAGGUCUGGAAAAACUAUUGCUAACUAGGAUGCACUCGCAUCUAGAACACCUGCUGUGAAGGAGGGCUGGCCUGCAUGGUUUCAAGGAUUAGAUGAGAUUGAGAGAUACAACAUACAUGGAGAAACAUGCGUCCUUCACAUAAAUGUCUGUAAAGAGGGAUUCAGUUGACUUUUGAAGGAGCAAAUAUUUUGAGUAAGAAAAUUGCUCUUCAUAUUCCGUCAACUAGUCGAAAAGCUGUCAGCAUUGAAGUUUCUUGCCUUCAUUCAGGCAAGAGAGAAUGCAG
Molecule: long non-coding RNA, 1042 nt
Organism: Lineus longissimus
Lineage: Eukaryota; Metazoa; Nemertea; Pilidiophora; Heteronemertea; Lineidae
Exons: 7
Source: RefSeq, a predicted model, not a curated record